AUGAACGCUAGCUACAGGCUUAACACAUGCAAGUCGAGGGGCAUCAUGGUCUUAGCUUGCUAAGGCCGAUGGCGACCGGCGCACGGGUGAGUAACACGUAUCCAACCUGCCGUCUACUCUUGGACAGCCUUCUGAAAGGAAGAUUAAUACAAGAUGGCAUCAUGAGUCCGCAUGUUCACAUGAUUAAAGGUAUUCCGGUAGACGAUGGGGAUGCGUUCCAUUAGAUAGUAGGCGGGGUAACGGCCCACCUAGUCUUCGAUGGAUAGGGGUUCUGAGAGGAAGGUCCCCCACAUUGGAACUGAGACACGGUCCAAACUCCUACGGGAGGCAGCAGUGAGGAAUAUUGGUCAAUGGGCGAGAGCCUGAACCAGCCAAGUAGCGUGAAGGAUGACUGCCCUAUGGGUUGUAAACUUCUUUUAUAAAGGAAUAAAGUCGGGUAUGGAUACCCGUUUGCAUGUACUUUAUGAAUAAGGAUCGGCUAACUCCGUGCCAGCAGCCGCGGUAAUACGGAGGAUCCGAGCGUUAUCCGGAUUUAUUGGGUUUAAAGGGAGCGUAGAUGGAUGUUUAAGUCAGUUGUGAAAGUUUGCGGCUCAACCGUAAAAUUGCAGUUGAUACUGGAUAUCUUGAGUGCAGUUGAGGCAGGCGGAAUUCGUGGUGUAGCGGUGAAAUGCUUAGAUAUCACGAAGAACUCCGAUUGCGAAGGCAGCCUGCUAAGCUGCAACUGACAUUGAGGCUCGAAAGUGUGGGUAUCAAACAGGAUUAGAUACCCUGGUAGUCCACACGGUAAACGAUGAAUACUCGCUGUUUGCGAUAUACUGCAAGCGGCCAAGCGAAAGCGUUAAGCAUUCCACCUGGGGAGUACGCCGGCAACGGUGAAACUCAAAGGAAUUGACGGGGGCCCGCACAAGCGGAGGAACAUGUGGUUUAAUUCGAUGAUACGCGAGGAACCUUACCCGGGCUUAAAUUGCAGAUGAAUUACGGUGAAAGCCGUAAGCCGCAAGGCAUCUGUGAAGGUGCUGCAUGGUUGUCGUCAGCUCGUGCCGUGAGGUGUCGGCUUAAGUGCCAUAACGAGCGCAACCCUUGUUGUCAGUUACUAACAGGUUCCGCUGAGGACUCUGACAAGACUGCCAUCGUAAGAUGUGAGGAAGGUGGGGAUGACGUCAAAUCAGCACGGCCCUUACGUCCGGGGCUACACACGUGUUACAAUGGGGGGUACAGAGGGCCGCUACCACGCGAGUGGAUGCCAAUCCCCAAAACCUCUCUCAGUUCGGACUGGAGUCUGCAACCCGACUCCACGAAGCUGGAUUCGCUAGUAAUCGCGCAUCAGCCACGGCGCGGUGAAUACGUUCCCGGGCCUUGUACACACCGCCCGUCAAGCCAUGGGAGCCGGGGGUACCUGAAGUGCGUAACCGCGAGGAGCGCCCUAGGG
RNAcentral lists this ribosomal RNA (1429 nucleotides) under uncultured organism. Its description in RNAcentral is "SSU rRNA". It matches the Rfam family "Bacterial small subunit ribosomal RNA". The record is from RNAcentral.